GAUGAACGCUGGCGGCGUGCCUAAUACAUGCAAGUCGAGCGAACAGACGAGGAGCUUGCUCCUCUGACGUUAGCGGCGGACGGGUGAGUAACACGUGGAUAACCUACCUAUAAGACUGGGAUAACUUCGGGAAACCGGAGCUAAUACCGGAUAAUAUAUUGAACCGCAUGGUUCAAUAGUGAAAGACGGUUUUGCUGUCACUUAUAGAUGGAUCCGCGCCGCAUUAGCUAGUUGGUAAGGUAACGGCUUACCAAGGCAACGAUGCGUAGCCGACCUGAGAGGGUGAUCGGCCACACUAGGACUGAGACACGGCCCAGACUCCUACGGGAGGCAGCAGUAGGGAAUCUUCGGCAAUGGACGGAAGUCUGACCGAGCAACGCCGCGUGAGUGAAGAAGGUUUUCGGAUCGUAAAGCUCUGUUGUAAGAGAAGAACGAGUGUGAGAGUGGAAAGUUCACACUGUGACGGUAUCUUACCAGAAAGGGACGGCUAACUACGUG
Molecule: ribosomal RNA, 498 nt
Filed under: uncultured bacterium
Lineage: Bacteria
Description: partial 16S ribosomal RNA
Rfam family: Bacterial small subunit ribosomal RNA
Source: RNAcentral